This 7837-nucleotide long non-coding RNA is filed under the name Capsicum annuum. Its description in RNAcentral is "long non-coding RNA (CANN_LNC007365)". The record is from RNAcentral. Lineage: Eukaryota; Viridiplantae; Streptophyta; Magnoliopsida; Solanales; Solanaceae.
ACAUCUAAAAAAGGAAAUUUUAAAAACUAUUUUUGUCAAUGAAUAACUUCUUUUACACCGACUUCGUUGGUUCACAUACUAUAGUUAUCUAAAUCAACCUUAACAAAUGAUUAUUAAUAUCAUUCAGAUCUGAAAUAAUUACACUCAUGUACUCAUGAACAUGAUAAAAUUUCAACAUUACAACUUCCUUUGAUCUUCUCAUCCCCUAUGAAGAGUAAUAUGUAUCAUAGGAUAUCCUUAAUACAACAGUUUAAAAUUGCAACUUCUUAUCCAAAGUGGAGGUAGCUAUUUCGCUUUUUGCAUUCUGGGUACUAUGUUAGCUUGCUGCCAUUUCAUUAAUUUGACACCUGACAUAGCAUAGAGACAAAAUUAGUGAAUGGUUAGUGAACAUUGCAACAAUUUUCUAUAAUUUUAUUUGUAAGUUCUAAACAUUAGAGCUAUUCUCAUUUAUAGUUCUGUAAGUAUAAAGAAAAUGUUAUUCUAGUCUCACAAAAUAUUGAAACUUAUUGAGUAAUGUGCUAAAAAUAAAUUUACAUUAAAAUUUUCGUUAAUUAAAUACAACUCGAGGGAACCACAAUAUAUAUCCAACAUCCGUAUGUAAUCUAGAUAUAGAGGGAAAGGAAGUGUAGAAUCGCAUUUUAUCUUGAUUUCAUCAGAAUCUGAAAUAUAAACUAAUCAUUUCACUACAUUAGUCAGUUAUUUGUUAGAAUUUCCACUAAUGAGUUUGUAUGAAAAUUAUAUUAGCUUAUAUAAAAACUACAUGGAAGGAUUGUAUAAGCAAUUGACACUGAGAUAUAAAAUCAUAAUUUAAAGGUUAAACUCUAACAAACUAAGGAUAUCCUCAUAAUAUUUUGAAAGACUCAAAACAUGUAGUAUUUUGUUCCAAAAAAUAAACUUGUUUACUAAAUACCUCCGCCACUCUUCACUUUUUGACAGUAUAUCCCCUUUAGACACAUAAUAAGUCCGUUUGCUUUUCAAUUUCUACCUAGAACUCAUUUAUCAAAAGUAGAUCUAAGAGUUCUCUGAAAGCUGAUCAAAAUUUCCACACAGAGAUAUCAGAAAUAUAAAUACGUCUGUCGAAGCUCGAGAUAUGGGAAAAAACUUCUGAAUGAAACCGCCAUAAACUUUGCAUUAUUAAAUAAAAAUAAUGAGCUAAGCAAACAAUUGUGUCACAGUGAAUUACAGUAGCUCAAAAAAGAUGAUGAGAGAGUAUCACAUUACACCAUUACUGUGGCCAUAAAUUCAUUAAUUUGAAAAAAAGAUGUACCAAAAUAAGAUCUACAUGCCAGAAAAUGAAUUUACAUAUUUUACUCCACAAGGAGUCCCAUAGUUUCGUGCUUAGAUGAUGCGUUCGUAUAUGAAUUCUUUCUCCGUUGUUUGGAAGAUUAAAAUAUAUGAAGUUGUUCCGUAAAUUAUUUCAAUAAAAUAAAAGAGACAGAGAUGUUGUACCGGAAUAUUAAACUCGUAACCAAACACACACUUAACAGUUCUUAUAGUACAAUCAAGUUUGAUAUUUCCUCCUCUAUCCAACAUUCAAAGAUUUCUCCAAGUAAUUAAAUUUUUCUUAAUCAAUUCGUCAUUUCUGCAUAAAAUCUACCCUUUCCAAACUUCACUUUGUAAGAUUAUAACGGAUAUGUUGUUAUUGUUGACGCAAAAGUUCAAAGUUGCGUUUUGAAAGUCUCUUAUGUUUAACACUGGAUAAUGUACAUGUAAAAGAAAGUUAAAACAACUACAAAUACACAACUGUCCAUAAUAUAACACUUAUUAUAAAGUCUCUUAUGUUUAACACUGGAUAAUGUACAUGUAAAAGAAAGUUAAAACAACUAUAAAUACACAACUGUCCAUAAUAUAACACUUAUUAUGAAUCACAUGAGAAUAGUUAAUAAUUAUCAUAUGAAGUGGCCAAUAAACAACUUUCUUAAUCUAGUUGAAAUACAAUUAAGAAAUUGAUAACAAACUUGAAGCAAAAUUAUGAGAAAAAAUAAGAAUCUAAAUUGCUUGAAAGGCAAUUUAGAUAUAAAGCAAUCUAUCAGGUCUUGUGAAACUUGAUUUGUUUGUCUAUGACUUAGGUAAAAAGUAGUAGUAGAAUUCCAUACCUCUUAAAAUAAUAGAGAACUUUUGGGGAUCUUUCUCCUAAGACAUUAUAAAAAAAUUGAGUAAGGAAAAGUUUGUAAUUGAAAAAUAUUAGGUAUCACACCAAAGACAUAUCUAAACACAAACAAAAGAAGACUACCAAAAAAAACAUUGAGAUGUAGACCAUUCACUUGAACAUAUAUUUGUGUUACACGUCAGUUAUCAACUUGUCUACUUUGUAGUUAAUUGGAAGAAACAAUUUGAUAAGGACUUAAUUAGUCGAGUUCUUCGUCCUUUGAAAUCUCCAAAUUAAGCGAAUAAAAGUCUUUGUGGAUGAGUCAUCUUCACCACCCGUUCUCUAUUGGUCAUUGGAAUUGCUUAACUCUAUGGAAUUCAAAUAGAACAAAGAAUGGGAUCAAAGUUGAAAGGUAUGCAGAACGUCGGAAAAGGUUUAACAAUAUAAUAUUGCAAACUUGAUCAUUUCUUAGUUCUGAAUGAAAUUGUAAUUUGAAAGCAAACAAUACAGAAUAAAGAAGAGAAUUAGGAAUAUCAAAAGUCCAUAUCUUACCUCACAAUCUAGCCAGUAAUUAAUUGUGAUUCGUCACUGAAAUUCGAGUAAACCACUUCCUAAUAAGAAGUUGAUCUUGUUGAAUCUGGAAGUAUCGAAAGCCGAACAGUGAUUUGGUAGAUAUGGUGCAUUCAUCGGUUAUAAAAGUGACAUCCAUUUUUGUGGAGAACGUGAAAGUGGAAAAGAAAGUUAUUUUUGGAGUUGAUAACUUGCCAAAUUUAGAAAUUUAAAGUAGAUACAUAUUAAUAAAAAUACUAAAAAAAAAUUAGAAUAUUUUGAUAUAUCAAUUACCACAGAUAUUUAUUUUAUGAUUUUUUUGCUUAAAACAAAAAAAUUAUAUAAUGUGUAAAUUAGUACGUCUGGUAAUUUUUUAUUUAUUUUUCUUUUUCAUUUUCUUAAUGUGCAACUUGUAUGGGGAAGUUAAUGUAUAGAUUAGUAUAAUUUUUUCUUUCUAAUUAGUUUUUUCUUUUAAUAUUUAAAUUUAUUUUUUCUUGUUUAAAAAUAGAAAUUUUCUAAUGUUAAUACUUGUAAGUCCAGAAAUAUUUUCUCUCUCUUAUUACAUAUAAAAUAGAAUAGCGAUAGAAUAGAUACUUGUAAUUAAAAAUAGUUAUAUUUAUUGUAAACUAAAUAUUUUAUUUUAUGUAAAGUGAAAUUAUCCCUAAAUAUUAUGUAUCUGCAAGUUUUUAUUUUGUUUUUAAACAAUUAUGUAGUUGCUAUAAUAGCAUUGAUUUUAAAACAGCCAAAGUGCAGAUAAAUACUCAAACACUUGGCAGUCCUUUUUAAUAUUUUUUAAAAAUAUUUUGAUAGAGGUUUUAUGUUUUAAUCUCUCUCUUUAUAUAAUCUUAUUAGCGAGAUUAUUAAAUAUUAAAUUUUGUCUUAAAAUGACCAAAAUCUAAAAAAGAUACCGAGGUCAAAAAUUAUAAAAAAAAAAUAAAAAAAUAGGAGUUUCUUAAUUAAAUAAUAUUUGUUUAAAAGUUAUUCAAAAAUUAGUUAUUUAUUAAAAGCUUCAAAUAUGAAUUAAUUAAUUAAUUGUCAAAAUUUAAAUUUUCUAAGGAAAUUUUAAAAGUAAAAUUCAAAAAUAGGUAACUACUAACUAACCUAUCUACUUCUUGUCCUUUCAUUCUACCAGGAGAGUGAAGCAAGGGGAUUCUUUGUCCCCUGCUUUAUUCAUUCUAUCAGCAAGGUUCUAAGCAAGGCCUUAAAUUCCUUAUUUGAAGAUACUCAAUUUGUAGGGUAUGGUUUACCCAAGUGAAGUGCUAAUUCUCAUCAUCUUGCUUAUGUAGAUGACGCUACUAUAUUUGCUUCAACUAAUAAGUAUUCUUUGGAGAAAAUUAUUCAAUCAGGGCAGAAGGUAAAUAAGGAUAAGAGUUAUUAUUAUCUGCCUUGAAAUGCAGCAUCUAAUGUGAGACAAUUGGUGGAAGAGUAUACAGGUUUUACAAUAGGUCACUUUCCUUUAAUAUACUUAGGGUGUCCCAUAACCCAUGCUAGAAAAAGAAAAGAACAUUAUGCUGAUCUUAUCAAAUGGGUUAAGACAAAGUUACAAGCCUGGAAAGGAAAUCUAUUAUCAUAUGAAGACAAAGAGGUGUUGAUCACAAGUGUUUUACAAAGUGUUCCUAUACAUGUACUUUCUGCCAUAGUUCCCCCUAAGUGUGUUAUUAAGGAAUUGCACAAAAUCUUUGCUAAAUUCUUUUGGAGUAACAAGGUCACUGGAAGGAGCAAACAUUGGGCUGUUUGAGAUAAAGUUUGCUUGCCAAACAGGAAAAAGGACUGGAUUUUAAAUCUUUGUUUGAUGUCUCACAAUCCAUGUAUGCUAAGCUAUGGUGGAAAUUUAGAACAGAGAACACUUUAUGGGCUACAUUUUUAUGGAACAAGUAUUGAAAGAAAUAAUUACCUUCGUUGGUUAAGGGGAGGGGAGGUUCUCAAUAGUGAAAACAUAUGCUACAUAAUAGAAACUGCAUUGAACAACACCUAUGGUGAGAACCUAAGGGAGAUUCAGUAAAUAUUUGGUAUGAUAAUUGGACAAUGUUUGGUCCACUUUAUAAUCAUCAAUCAGAGGUGGUUUCUUGUCAUCCUUUGACAGAAAUUGGAGUAUUUAUGAAUAAAGCAGACUGGGACUAUGAGGAAAUGCAAAAUCACAUACCUGCCCACAUUGUGGAUCAUAUUAGAAAUCAUAUGGAUUAUGUCAGGCAAUUUGAGAUGAGGGAUAAACCUUGGUAGACUAAGACAAGUUCUGGAAAUUUUUUAGUAAAAAGUACAUGGGAAAUCUUGAGAAAAAAGGAUGAAGUUUCAAAUUUUUUUAAGAAGAUCUGGGUGAAAGGACUUUCUUUUAAAAUUUCAUUCUUUGGAUAAAGAGUAUGGACUAACAGGGUCCCUGUUGCAGCAAUUUUGGCUAUCUGAAACCCUAAUAUAUCUCAAGUUUGUUCUUGUUGUUCAGUACCAUCCAGAGAGACCAUGAAAUAUCCUUUUCUAAAUGAUGAAAUAGCUACCAAUGUUCGAAAUUAUGUGCCAAAUACAGCUGGUAUCAUUGGUCCGUGGAUUCAAGUAAAACAGACCAUGAAAAAGUGGUGGGAUACACAUGGAAAUGCUAGACAAAAGGUAAUCUUUCAUGCUAUUCCUAAUAUUGUUUUAUGGUUUAUAUGGAAAAGGAGAAACACAGUAUUACAUGGAGGAGUGUAUUCUAUAGGUAAUGUGUUGCAUGAUAUUAACACUACCCUUCAGAAGUUUAUCAAACUGAAGUUUCAAUAAACUGAGAUUCCUAGAACUUGGCCUUAUAUGGUAGCUCUGCUUGAUGGUUAUAGGCCAAGUUUUCAGUGCAAAUUUGUGAAAUGGUUACCACCACCAGUUGGUUUGUGGAAAUGUAACACAAAUGAGGCCUCAAGAGGUAAUCCAGGUGCUAGCUCUGUUGCUUUUUGUGUAAGAAAUAGUUAUGGUGAUUUAUUGGGUGCAAAGGGUUUGAAGAUUGUUGAUUCAACUAAUCUGGUGGUUGAGGCUAAGGCUGAGGCUGAGGCUGAGGCUGUGGCCGUUACAGAAGGUUUAAAGUUGGAAAAAUAAUUUCCUUAAUAUCAUCAUUGAAUCUGAUUCUUUGGCUUUAGGGCACAUUAUUAAUAGAGUUUGGGAAGUCCCGUGGAGUGUAACAAUGGAGGUCAAGUCCAUUAAAAGACUUAUCGAGGCUAUGUCAGUAAGAGUACAACACUCCUUGAGAGAGGGAAAUAUUCUUGCUGACUAUUUUGCUAACUUGGUUUUUGAUUUUGCAGGUACAGUUGAAUAUAGGAAUUUCGACGAAGUUCCAAUUAAAGAAAAAAGGAUUAUCAAUCUUGAUAAACUAAGUUUACCAAACAUGAGAAUCAGACACUUUGUUACAAAUUUCACAUCUUAAACAAUCAUACUUUCUGGUACACUUUUGUGAUAUGAAUACUAAUGUUGAGUUUAAAAGAUUGACUUAUUAAUGUACUUUGUGAAGUCUGAAGUAAUUUCGGUUGGUUACUAUACCAUGAACCUGGUGAGAGCUUUGAGGUGUUACGUAUGGUAUGAAACCAAGACUCACAAGUCAAUAUUAGGAGAUUUUUUAAUAUUCCGUUUAGUACUUAUACACUUAUGUCACAGAUCUUAUUAAUUCACUCUAGUUUUGAGGCUCUUCAUUUAAAAUGGUGGUAUUAACCUAUGUGGGUUCAAUCCGUAGAUUAGGGUGUUAGUACAGAUUUGCAGAGUUUUAGUUGUACCUCUAAUUUCCACUUGAAAAUUCUGGCUUGGUAUUUUGACUAGCAUGAGCAGAUGAAUCCUAAUAGCUUGAAACAGCUUGAUCCAACCUCAAAAUUUUUAAAAGUAGAUAUUUUUUUCGAGGAUUUAAAUGUCAAUAGUGGUAUCAAUCUUCAUUAGGGAUUCAACCCGUUGAAAUUUAGAUUUGAAAAAAGGAAUCUAAUUUACCGUAAUCACAAUACCUGAAAGCUGUGUUCAAGAGUCAAUGGUGGUGACGAGGUUGAACAGGUUCGAUGAGCAGCUCCGAUUAAUUUGAUUGACCAAUUUGGAAUGCAUAGGUGAAGAAGAAACACUUUGUAGCCGCUGGAGUCCUUUUUCGCAGCUCCGAUUCGUCUCCUCCCAAUAGUUUUGAGCUUGGAUGCGGUUCCUGUCAAUGAAGUUUUCUCUGAAAUUCUUGUGUCUGUUGAGUUUAUCUGCAGACAUUUCACUUUCCUAAUUAAUCAAUUAAUUAGGUACACUUAGUUUUUCUUUUUGCAUUGUUUGAUUUCCUUUUUGGACUCUGGUACGUUGGGCCAACAAUGUACAUUUUUAUUUGAUUAAUAAAGUGGCCCAUUGGGUCUUGAAUUAAAAAAAAUAAAUAAAAACUAUCUACUUGUUGUCCUAAAAUGACACAUUGUACACAUUGUGUUUUAUCAUGCUGCCACAUGGAUUACUGUGGAAGCUUUGUCCUCUCUCAUUAAUAAUAUAUAGAUAUAGAUAUUUAAAACUCAUAGUCAUGAAUAAAAUCAUUAUUUAUCAAUAUGGAGCUUCAACAGACCAACAAACCAAACACUUUAUUACUUCAAUUGUAUGCUAGAACUACACAUGUACUUAAAAUCCACAUAGCACCAUACCAUAUAUAAACAAAAUUAGUUAAUAAUUUGCUUUGGUCAUCAAAUUAUGCCUCUUUGCUGCUUCAAAACAAAAGUCAUGAAAUCAUUGUUUAGACACGUAAAUAGACUAAUAAAAUCAUACCCAUGGCUUUGCUGGAGAUACCGACGUCGAGAUAAAAUUUCUUCAGCAAAUUGAAGAUGCAGAUCUUGUAUGUAGAUUUUGUGGCCCUUUUGCCUAGUCCUACUUUUUGCCACUACUGACAGUGUUCUUUGGGAGAUUAUAUCCGGCCUUGAAACUUUUCUGUGUCGUAGCUUUCUCGACAACAAAUACCAAAACAAGAUUCGAAUUGGGUGUAUUAUUUUUCAGCAACCAUGAAAAUUCACAAAUUAAAUUGAAAAGACAAAGAAAUGAAAAAAAGAGAUGAAUAUAUUGGGCAAGAAAUGAAGGAGAAGAAGGUCUCUCAUGCAAGAGAAUGAUGUGAGCGAGAUCAACAAAAAUUCAUCAAAGGAAAAAAAGAAGAGCAUUUGGAGAUAUAUAAAAACUAAACAUUUUUUUUUUAGAUUUCGUGAACUUCAUUUUAGAAAUACAAACUGAUUUGCAGUUUUAACUUUUCAGUUUAGAAUUUUA